UGGGGAAUUUUGGACAAUGGGGGCAACCCUGAUCCAGCCAUCCCGCGUGUGCGAUGAAGGCCUUCGGGUUGUAAAGCACUUUUGGCAGGAAAGAAACGGCUCUGGCUAAUAUCUGGAGCAACUGACGGUACCUGCAGAAUAAGCACCGGCUAACUACGUGCCAGCAGCCGCGGUAAUACGUAGGGUGCAAGCGUUAAUCGGAAUUACUGGGCGUAAAGCGUGCGCAGGCGGUUCGGAAAGAAAGAUGUGAAAUCCCAGGGCUUAACCUUGGAACUGCAUUUUUAACUACCGGGCUAGAGUGUGUCAGAGGGAGGUGGAAUUCCGCGUGUAGCAGUGAAAUGCGUAGAUAUGCGGAGGAACACCGAUGGCGAAGGCAGCCUCCUGGGAUAACACUGACGCUCAUGCACGAAAGCGUGGGGAGCAAACAGGAUUAGAUACCC
RNAcentral lists this ribosomal RNA (440 nucleotides) under uncultured bacterium. RNAcentral's name for it is "bacterial SSU rRNA". It matches the Rfam family "Bacterial small subunit ribosomal RNA", at positions 355 to 787 of the family's 1533-position model. The record is from RNAcentral.